This 293-nucleotide ribosomal RNA is filed under the name uncultured bacterium. RNAcentral describes it as "partial 16S ribosomal RNA". It matches the Rfam family "Archaeal small subunit ribosomal RNA", at positions 455 to 747 of the family's 1478-position model. The record is from RNAcentral.
GUGCCAGCCGCCGCGGUAAUACCGGCAGCUCGAGUGAUGGCCGAUUUUAUUGGGCCUAAAGCGUCCGUAGCCGGCCGAGCAAGUCCGUCGGGAAAUCCACUCGCCCAACGAGUGGGCGUCCGACGGAAACUGCACAGCUUGGGACCGGAAGGCUCGAAGGGUACGUUCGGGGUAGGAGUGAAAUCCCAUAAUCCCGCACGGACCACCGAUGGCAAAAGCACUUCGAGAAAACGGAUCCGACAGUGAGGGACGAAAGCCAGGGUCUCCAACCGGAUUAGAAACCCUAGUAGUCC